Molecule: transfer RNA, 69 nt
Filed under: Bos taurus (domestic cattle)
Lineage: Eukaryota; Metazoa; Chordata; Mammalia; Artiodactyla; Bovidae
Also listed under: 4 other names
Rfam family: tRNA
About the family: Transfer RNA (tRNA) molecules are approximately 80 nucleotides in length. Their secondary structure includes four short double-helical elements and three loops (D, anti-codon, and T loops). Further hydrogen bonds mediate the characteristic L-shaped molecular structure. tRNAs have two regions of fundamental functional importance: the anti-codon, which is responsible for specific mRNA codon recognition, and the 3' end, to which the tRNAs corresponding amino acid is attached (by aminoacyl-tRNA synthetases). tRNAs cope with the degeneracy of the genetic code in two manners: having more than one tRNA (with a specific anti-codon) for a particular amino acid; and 'wobble' base-pairing, i.e. permitting non-standard base-pairing at the 3rd anti-codon position.
Source: Rfam by way of RNAcentral
CCUGAUGACUCAGAUGGUAAAGAAUCUGCCUUCAGUGCAGGAGACCUGGGUUCAAUCCCGGGGUCAGGA